ACGGUGAGGGAUGAAAGCUGGGGGAGCAAACCGGAUUAGAUACCCGGGUAGUCCCAGCUGUAAACUAUGCAAACUCAGUGAUGCAUUGGCUUGUGGCCAAUGCAGUGCUGCAGGGAAGCCGUUAAGUUUGCCGCCUGGGAAGUACGUACGCAAGUAUGAGACUUAAAGGAAUUGGCGGGGGAGCACCACAAGGGGUGAAGCCUGCGGUUCAAUUGGAGUCAACGCCU
RNAcentral lists this ribosomal RNA (227 nucleotides) under uncultured crenarchaeote. RNAcentral describes it as "partial 16S ribosomal RNA". It matches the Rfam family "Archaeal small subunit ribosomal RNA", at positions 694 to 920 of the family's 1478-position model. Lineage: Archaea; Thermoproteati; Thermoproteota. The record is from RNAcentral.